This 253-nucleotide ribosomal RNA is filed under the name uncultured bacterium. RNAcentral describes it as "partial 16S ribosomal RNA". It matches the Rfam family "Bacterial small subunit ribosomal RNA", at positions 524 to 776 of the family's 1533-position model. The record is from RNAcentral.
UACGGAGGGUGCAAGCGUUAAUCGGAAUUACUGGGCGUAAAGCGUGCGCAGGCGGCUUUGCAAGACAGAUGUGAAAUCCCCGGGCUUAACCUGGGAACUGCAUUUGUGACUGCAUGGCUAGAGUGCGGCAGAGGGGGAUGGAAUUCCGCGUGUAGCAGUGAAAUGCGUAGAUAUGCGGAGGAACACCGAUGGCGAAGGCAAUCCCCUGGGCCUGCACUGACGCUCAUGCACGAAAGCGUGGGGAGCAAACAGG